UGUCUCCUCCAACUCUCCUCAAAAAGAAUUGGAUUUCAAGCCCACUCCCGAGUGGGCUUUUUUUU
Massilia sp. CF038 is the source of this 65-nucleotide non-coding RNA. The record is from Rfam. NCBI's taxonomy places the organism in Bacteria, Pseudomonadati, Pseudomonadota, Betaproteobacteria, Burkholderiales, Oxalobacteraceae.